AUUGAACGCUGGCGGCAUGCCUUACACAUGCCAAUCGAACGGUAACGGGCCUUCGGGUGCCGACGAGUGGCGAACGGGUGAGUAAUACAUCGGAACGUGCCCGAUCGUGGGGGAUAACGAGGCGAAAGCUUUGCUAAUACCGCAUACGAUCUACGGAUGAAAGCAGGGGACCGCAAGGCCUUGCGCGGACGGAGCGGCCGAUGGCAGAUUAGGUAGUUGGUGGGAUAAAAGCUUACCAAGCCGACGAUCUGUAGCUGUCUGAGAGGAUGAUCAGCCACACUGGGACUGAGACACGGCCCAGACUCCUACGGGAGGCAGCAGUGGGGAAUUUUGGACAAUGGGCGCAAGCCUGAUCCAGCCAUGCCACGUGCAGGAUGAAGGCCUUCGGGUUGUAAACUGAUUUUGUACGGAACGAAAAGCCUUCUUUUAAUACAGGAGGGUCAUGACGGUACCGUAAGAAUAAGCACCGGCUAACUACGUG
This 481-nucleotide ribosomal RNA is filed under the name uncultured bacterium. RNAcentral's name for it is "partial 16S ribosomal RNA". It matches the Rfam family "Bacterial small subunit ribosomal RNA", at positions 30 to 507 of the family's 1533-position model. The record is from RNAcentral.